Molecule: ribosomal RNA, 433 nt
Filed under: uncultured bacterium
Lineage: Bacteria
Description: partial 16S ribosomal RNA
Rfam family: Bacterial small subunit ribosomal RNA
Source: RNAcentral
AACGAACGCUGGCGGCAUGCCUAACACAUGCAAGUCGAACGAGACCUUCGGGUCUAGUGGCGCACGGGUGCGUAACGCGUGGGAACCUGCCUUUAGGUUCGGAAUAACUCAGAGAAAUUUGAGCUAAUACCGGAUGAUGUCUUCGGACCAAAGAUUUAUCGCCUUUAGAUGGGCCCGCGUUGGAUUAGCUAGUUGGUGGGGUAAAGGCCUACCAAGGCGACGAUCCAUAGCUGGUCUGAGAGGAUGAUCAGCCACACUGGGACUGAGACACGGCCCAGACUCCUACGGGAGGCAGCAGUGGGGAAUAUUGGACAAUGGGCGAAAGCCUGAUCCUGCAAUGCCGCGUGAGUGAUGAAGGCCUUAGGGUUGUAAAGCUCUUUUACCCGAGAUGAUAAUGACAGUAGCGGGAGAAUAAGCUCCGGCUAACUCCGUG